Molecule: ribosomal RNA, 430 nt
Filed under: uncultured Acidobacteriota bacterium
Lineage: Bacteria; Pseudomonadati; Acidobacteriota
Description: bacterial SSU rRNA
Rfam family: Bacterial small subunit ribosomal RNA
Source: RNAcentral
AGAGUUUGAUCCUGGCUCAGAAUCAACGCUGGCGGCGUGCCUAACACAUGCAAGUCGAACGCGAAAGUCCCGCAAGGGAUAAGUAGAGUGGCAAACGGGUGAGUAACACGUGGGUGACCUGCCUUCGAGCGGGGGAUAACGUCCCGAAAGGGACGCUAAUACCGCAUAACAUCCUGCCUUUGAAGAGGCGGUGAUCAAAGCUGGGGAUCGCAAGACCUAGCACUCGAAGAGGGGCCCGCGUCCGAUUAGCUAGUUGGUGGGGUAAUGGCCCACCAAGGCUACGAUCGGUAGCCGGCCUGAGAGGGCGGACGGCCACACUGGGACUGAGACACGGCCCAGACUCCUACGGGAGGCAGCAGUGGGGAAUUGUUCGCAAUGGGCGCAAGCCUGACGACGCAACGCCGCGUGGAGGAUGAAAAUCUUCGGGUCG